CCUACGGGAGGCAGCAGUGGGGAAUUUUGGACAAUGGGCGAAAGCCUGAUCCAGCAAUGCCGCGUGCAGGAAGAAGGCCUUCGGGUUGUAAACUGCUUUUGUACGGAACGAAACGGUCUGCUUUAAUACAGUGGGCUAAUGACGGUACCGUAAGAAUAAGCACCGGCUAACUACGUGCCAGCAGCCGCGGUAAUACGUAGGGUGCGAGCGUUAAUCGGAAUUACUGGGCGUAAAGCGUGCGCAGGCGGUUAUAUAAGACAGUUGUGAAAUCCCCGGGCUCAACCUGGGAAUUGCAUCUGUGACUGUAUAGCUAGAGUACGGUAGAGGGGGAUGGAAUUCCGCGUGUAGCAGUGAAAUACGUAGAUAUGCGGAGGAACACCGAUGGCGAAGGCAAUCCCCUGGACCUGUACUGACGCUCAUGCACGAAAGCGUGGGGAGCAAACAGGAUUAGAUACCCUGGUAGUCCACGCCCUAAACGAUGUCAACUGGUUGUUGGGUGCAUUAGUACUCAGUAACGAAGCUAACGCGUGAAGUUGACCGCCUGGGGAGUACGGCCGCAAGGUUGAAACUUAAAGGAAUUGACGG
RNAcentral lists this ribosomal RNA (585 nucleotides) under uncultured bacterium. Its description in RNAcentral is "bacterial SSU rRNA". It matches the Rfam family "Bacterial small subunit ribosomal RNA", at positions 338 to 916 of the family's 1533-position model. The record is from RNAcentral.